Molecule: small nuclear RNA, 134 nt
Filed under: Octodon degus (degu)
Lineage: Eukaryota; Metazoa; Chordata; Mammalia; Rodentia; Octodontidae
Description: U4 spliceosomal RNA (ENSODEG00000024779.1)
Rfam family: U4 spliceosomal RNA
About the family: U4 small nuclear RNA (U4 snRNA) is a component of the major U2-dependent spliceosome. The structure of U4 snRNA from yeast and human has been reported.
Source: RNAcentral
GGCUUUGCGCAGUGGCUGUGUCGCGGCCAGUGAGGUUUAUCUGAGGCACAAUUAUUGCUCUUUGGAAACUCUUCCCAGUGCCUUCCAAGACGGCUUGAAAGAUGUAUUUAUGUAUUUAUUGCAUACAAAUGUAU